GACUCUGUAGCUCAGUUGGUAGAGCAUGGUGCCUGCAACGCCAGGGUUGUGGGUUCGAUUCCCACGGGGGACC
Molecule: transfer RNA, 73 nt
Filed under: Salmo salar (Atlantic salmon)
Lineage: Eukaryota; Metazoa; Chordata; Actinopteri; Salmoniformes; Salmonidae
Rfam family: tRNA
About the family: Transfer RNA (tRNA) molecules are approximately 80 nucleotides in length. Their secondary structure includes four short double-helical elements and three loops (D, anti-codon, and T loops).
Source: Rfam by way of RNAcentral